RNAcentral lists this ribosomal RNA (223 nucleotides) under uncultured bacterium. Its description in RNAcentral is "partial 16S ribosomal RNA". It matches the Rfam family "Bacterial small subunit ribosomal RNA", at positions 328 to 539 of the family's 1533-position model. The record is from RNAcentral.
ACGCUCGACACCUACGGGAGGCAGCAGUAGGGAAUCUUCCACAAUGGACGCAAGUCUGAUGGAGCAACGCCGCGUGAGUGAAGAAGGUCUUCGGAUCGUAAAACUCUGUUGUUAGAGAAGAACACGAGUGAGAGUAACUGUUCAUUCGAUGACGGUAUCUAACCAGCAAGUCACGGCUAACUACGUGCCAGAAGCCGCGGUAAUCUGAGCGGGCUGGCAAGGC